GACCCCGUAGCGCAGAGGCAGGCGCACCGUCUUGUCAGGACGGACACGCCGGUUCGAAUCCGGCCGGGGUCG
This 72-nucleotide transfer RNA is filed under the name Streptomyces sp. RNAcentral's name for it is "tRNA-Asp". It matches the Rfam family "tRNA". From Rfam's summary of the family: Transfer RNA (tRNA) molecules are approximately 80 nucleotides in length. Lineage: Bacteria; Bacillati; Actinomycetota; Actinomycetes; Kitasatosporales; Streptomycetaceae. The record is from RNAcentral.